CUCAUUGAACUCGCCUGCAGCUCUUGGGUUUUUUGUGGCUUCCUUCGUUAUUGGAGCCAGGCCUACACCCCAGCAACCAUGUCCAAGGGACCUGCAGUUGGUAUUGAUCUUGGCACCACCUACUCUUGUGUGGGUGUUUUCCAGCACGGAAAAGUCGAGAUAAUUGCCAAUGAUCAGGGAAACCGAACCACUCCAAGCUAUGUCGCCUUUACGGACACUGAACGGUUGAUCGGUGAUGCCGCAAAGAAUCAAGUUGCAAUGAACCCCACCAACACAGUUUUUGACUGUUACCAAUGCUGUGGUCACAGUGCCAGCUUACUUUAAUGACUCUCAGCGUCAGGCUACCAAAGAUGCUGGAACUAUUGCUGGUCUCAAUGUACUUAGAAUUAUUAAUGAGCCAACUGCUGCUGCUAUUGCUUACGGCUUAGACAAAAAGGUAUGUACCAUUUGUGAUGCAAGUUCGGAUUAUUUUAAGAUUAAUUUGAUCCAUCGUAAAUUUAAAUGAGAUUGUUUUUAACGGCAGGUUGGAGCAGAAAGAAACGUGCUCAUCUUUGACCUGGGAGGUGGCAC
RNAcentral lists this long non-coding RNA (570 nucleotides) under Homo sapiens (human). Its description in RNAcentral is "non-protein coding lnc-CLMP-3:1". Lineage: Eukaryota; Metazoa; Chordata; Mammalia; Primates; Hominidae. The record is from RNAcentral.